This 548-nucleotide ribosomal RNA is filed under the name Pongo pygmaeus (Bornean orangutan). Its description in RNAcentral is "partial 16S ribosomal RNA". It matches the Rfam family "Bacterial large subunit ribosomal RNA", at positions 1816 to 2597 of the family's 2925-position model. Lineage: Eukaryota; Metazoa; Chordata; Mammalia; Primates; Hominidae. The record is from RNAcentral.
CACCUCUAGCAUUACCAGUAUUAGAGGCACCGCCUGCCCGGUGACAUACGUUUAACGGCCGCGGUACCCUGACCGUGCAAAGGUAGCAUAAUCACUUGUUCCUUAAAUGGGGACUUGUAUGAAUGGCUUCACGAGGGUUCGACUGUCUCUUACUUUUAACCAGUGAAAUUGACCUGCCCGUGAAGAGGCGGGCAUAACAUAACAAGACGAGAAGACCCUAUGGAGCUUCAAUUUACCAGUGCAAAUAACAUACAACAAGCCCACAGGCCCUAAAUCACCAAACCUGCACUGAAGAUUUCGGUUGGGGCGACCUCGGAGCACAACCCAACCUCCGAGAAACACAUGUUAAGACCUCACAAGUCAAAACGAACUUCCACACACAAUUGAUCCAACAACUUGACCAACGGAACAAGUUACCCUAGGGAUAACAGCGCAAUCCUGUUCUAGAGUCCAUAUCAACAACAGGGUUUACGACCUCGAUGUUGGAUCAGGACAUCCUAAUGGUGCAGCCGCUAUUAAAGGUUCGUUUGUUCAACGAUUAAAGUCCU